RNAcentral lists this ribosomal RNA (377 nucleotides) under uncultured bacterium. RNAcentral describes it as "bacterial SSU rRNA". It matches the Rfam family "Bacterial small subunit ribosomal RNA", at positions 30 to 416 of the family's 1533-position model. The record is from RNAcentral.
CCUGAACGCUGGCGGCGUGGCUAAGACAUGCAAGUCGUACGGGGCCGCAGGGCCCAGUGGCGAACGGGUGAGUAAUGAAUCGCUAAUGUGCCCCGGACUCAGGGAUAGCCGCUCGAAAGGGCGGGUAAUACCUGAUGACAUAACCCUGUCGCGUGGCAGGGUUCUCAAAGGUCCGCCGGUCUGGGAGCAGGCGAUUUCGUAUCAGCUAGUUGGUGAGGUAACGGCUCACCAAGGCGACGACGCGUAGCCGGACCGAGAGGUUGGCCGGCCACAUUGGGACUGAGACACUGCCCAGACUCCUACGGGGGGCUGCAGUAACGAAUCUUCCGCAAUGCACGAAAGUGUGACGGAGCGACGCCGCGUGUGGGACGAAGUCC